Molecule: ribosomal RNA, 443 nt
Filed under: uncultured bacterium
Lineage: Bacteria
Description: partial 16S ribosomal RNA
Rfam family: Bacterial small subunit ribosomal RNA
Source: RNAcentral
CCUACGGGAGGCAGCAGUGGGGAAUAUUGGGCAAUGGGCGCAAGCCUGACCCAGCAACGCCGCGUGAAGGAAGAAGGCUUUCGGGUUGUAAACUUCUUUUCUGAGGGACGAAGAAAGUGACGGUACCUCAGUAAUGAGCCACGGCUAACUACGUGCCAGCAGCCGCUGGAAUACGGAGGUGGCGAGCGUUAGCCGGAUUUAUUGGGUGUAAGGGGAGUGUAGGUGGGAAAGCAAGUCAGAUGUGAAAGUUUGGGGCUCAACCCUAAGAUUGCAUUUGAAACUGGUAGUCUUGAGUACAGGUGAGGUAGGCGGAAUGCGGGGUGUAGCGGUGAAAUGCUUAGAUAUCACGAAGAAUACCGAUGGCGAAGGCAGCCUACUAAACUGACACUGACAUUGAUGCUCGAAAGUGUGGGUAUAAAACAGGAUUAGAUACCCGAGUAGUC